AGUCUAAAAGGAGGAGGCGAAUCGAACGCAAAAAUUAUGGGCCCAGUUUUUGAGAUCUAAAUGAAGUUCGAAAAUCGCCGUUAGGGGCGCUUGUGAUGAUUGGGAUACUAGAAAUACACAGCUUCUUAUGGCAAGAAUAACUAUUUUGUUAUAAAUUAUAGAGCCAAGUUAAUAUUUGGGCAUAUUUUUACCAGAGUUAGCUUUUAGAAACGUGGUUUUUCUAAUUGAGCAAUGUGCGUGGCUAAAAUUGUGAAUACAAAACCUUAAAUUUGAGUUUGAAAAUGCAUACACGACCGAAGAAACAUAUAAGCUGCUAAAAUAAAUCUUCCCUAGAACUGUUGUACAAAAAAGAUAGAAGUUCCAGCAACAAAUUUAUCACCAGUUCAACCUUUGAUUUGAUGUAAACAGUAAUUGUUUCUUGAUGAGAAAUGCGAAUGAAAUAGUUUAUGGUGUGAUUGUGUUAGUGUUUUAUUAAUAGUUUUGUUGAUGCAGUUUAAAGGUUCAUAGUUUUUCAUUAAAACAUUUGAAAUUGACAUGUUUACAUGCAGUUUAGUGUGAUACCAUUUUAAUAAACAUUAAAAUCUUUCGAACUAGUAGUGGUUUUAUGGCGAUUGACAGAUUGAAUAACGAAAAUUAAGAGUAUUUUAUCAGGAAUAACUUAAUCAUAAAUGGAAACUGAAGACGAACGUUACCAUUGCACCCUUUGAUCGGUGUUAUCUAUUCCAUAACUUUUUAUAGCUGAAACUAGAGAGUAGGUAUAUUGAGCUGAAACGUUUCCUGUGUUCAAUAGCGUUUUUUCUAGCGUUGAAUUGUAAGUUUUAAUGUCAUUAGCAAAGUUUUGCAAAUUGUCACUGUUUCGUAGACAAUUAAAUUCAAGAUAUAUUAUAUUCAAUGUCACCUAAUAAUUGUAAAGGUUUUUCUAUUGAUAUUCACUUUAUUAAUAUAAGGUAGGUUUGUAAAUAAAAUAUUAAUGAAUAAAUAAUGUACUCAGUUUAUUUCAAAAGCACAAAAAUACAGAGUUGUGAAUAUGUAUAUACGCUGACUUAUUUCAUCAUAUAAAUAUUUAUUUAGCAAUAUUAAUACAUUACAACUUUUGUUUCUAUUAACUAAUUCCACUAAAUUUAAUAAAUAAAAUAUACAAUAUAUAAAUUUAAUAUACAAUUUAGCACUUAGAUAUUAAAUAUCUAUAUGUACUAUGCCAAAAAAUAAAACAGGAACAUCAUAUUAUAUCAAGAACACAAAAAAUUACAAUUUAAAAAAAAUGCAUUCUAAAAAAAUACCUAGCUACAAUAUACCUACAUAUUAAUUUAAAGAGCUUAUUCAUAUUCAUAAAAACUAUUCUAAAUGGUUUAUAUACACAAUCAAAAGUAUCAACCACAAUACAAUAAUUUUCAAAUUAUUUCUUAUUAUUCCUCAA
Molecule: long non-coding RNA, 1417 nt
Organism: Sitophilus oryzae (rice weevil)
Lineage: Eukaryota; Metazoa; Arthropoda; Insecta; Coleoptera; Curculionidae
Exons: 2
Source: RefSeq, a predicted model, not a curated record